GAUGAACGCUGACAGAAUGCUUAACACAUGCGAGUCAACUUGAACUUCGGUUUGGGUGGCGGACGGGUGAGUAACGCGUAAAGAACUUGCCUCACAGAUAGGGACAACAUUUGGAAACGAAUGCUAAUACCUGAUAUUAUGAUUAUAUGGCAUCGUAUAAUUAUGAAAGCUAUAUGCGCUGUGAGAGAGCUUUGCGUCCCAUUAGCUAGUUGGAGAGGUAACGGCUCACCAAGGCGAUGAUGGGUAGCCGGCCUGAGAGGGUGAUCGGCCACAAGGGGACUGAGACACGGCCCUUACUCCUACGGGAGGCAGCAGUGGGGAAUAUUGGACAAUGGACCAAGAGUCUGAUCCAGCAAUUCUGUGUGCACGAUGAAGUUUUUCGGAAUGUAAAGUGCUUUCAGUUGGGAAGAAAAAAAUGACGGUACCAACAGAAGAAGUGACGGCUAAAUACGUG
This 454-nucleotide ribosomal RNA is filed under the name uncultured bacterium. RNAcentral describes it as "partial 16S ribosomal RNA". It matches the Rfam family "Bacterial small subunit ribosomal RNA", at positions 28 to 507 of the family's 1533-position model. The record is from RNAcentral.